UACAUAGGGGGCGAGCGUUGUCCGGAUUUAUUGGGCGUAAAGAGCGUGUAGGCGGCCAGGUAGGUCUGCUGUGAAAACUCGAGGCUCAACCUCGAGACGUCGGCGGAAACCAUCUGGCUAGAGUCCGGAAGAGGAGAGUGGAAUUCCUGGUGUAGCGGUGAAAUGCGCAGAUAUCAAGCGGAACACCAGUGGCGAAGGCGAGUCCCUGGACAACACCUGACACUGAGGCACGAAAGCUAGGGGAGCAAACAGG
Molecule: ribosomal RNA, 253 nt
Filed under: uncultured bacterium
Lineage: Bacteria
Description: partial 16S ribosomal RNA
Rfam family: Bacterial small subunit ribosomal RNA
Source: RNAcentral